GAUGAACGCUGGCGGCGUGCCUAAUACAUGCAAGUCGAGCGAACAGAUAAGGAGCUUGCUCCUUUGACGUUAGCGGCGGACGGGUGAGUAACACGUGGGUAACCUACCUAUAAGACUGGAAUAACUCCGAGAAACCGGGGCUAAUGCCGGAUAACAUUUAGAACCGCAUGGUUCUAAAGUGAAAGAUGGUUUUGCUAUCACUUAUAGAUGGACCCGCGCCGUAUUAGCUAGUUGGUAAGGUAACGGCUUACCAAGGCAACGAUACGUAGCCGACCUGAGAGGGUGAUCGGCCACACUGGAACUGAGACACGGUCCAGACUCCUACGGGAGGCAGCAGUAGGGAAUCUUCCGCAAUGGGCGAAAGCCUGACGGAGCAACGCCGCGUGAGUGAUGAAGGUCUUCGGAUCGUAAAACUCUGUUAUUAGGGAAGAACAAAUGUGUAAGUAACUGUGCACGUCUUGACGGUACCUAAUCAGAAAGCCACGGCUAACUACGUG
Molecule: ribosomal RNA, 497 nt
Filed under: uncultured bacterium
Lineage: Bacteria
Description: partial 16S ribosomal RNA
Rfam family: Bacterial small subunit ribosomal RNA
Source: RNAcentral